GACGAACGCUGGCGGCGUGCUUAACACAUGCAAGUCGAACGGAAAGGCCCUGCUUUUGUGGGGUGCUCGAGUGGCGAACGGGUGAGUAACACGUGAGUAACCUGCCCUUGACUUUGGGAUAACUUCAGGAAACUGGGGCUAAUACCGGAUAGGAGCUCCUGCUGCAUGGUGGGGGUUGGAAAGUUUCGGCGGUUGGGGAUGGACUCGCGGCUUAUCAGCUUGUUGGUGGGGUAGUGGAUUACCAAGGCUUUGACGGGUAGCCGUCCUGAGCGGGUGACCGGCCACAUUGGGACUGAGAUGCGACACAGCCUCCUACGGGAGGCAGCAGUGGGGAAUAUUGCACAAUGGGCGGAAGCCUGAUGCAGCAACGCCGCGUGCGGGAUGACAGCCUUCGGGUUGUAAAGCGCUUUCGCCUGUGACGAGGAGUGAGUGACGGUAAUGGGUAAAGAAGCACCGGCUAACUACGUG
RNAcentral lists this ribosomal RNA (468 nucleotides) under uncultured bacterium. Its description in RNAcentral is "partial 16S ribosomal RNA". It matches the Rfam family "Bacterial small subunit ribosomal RNA", at positions 28 to 507 of the family's 1533-position model. The record is from RNAcentral.